Transfer RNA from Wallemia sebi, 133 nucleotides. It matches the Rfam family "tRNA". Rfam says of the family: Transfer RNA (tRNA) molecules are approximately 80 nucleotides in length. Their secondary structure includes four short double-helical elements and three loops (D, anti-codon, and T loops). NCBI's taxonomy places the organism in Eukaryota, Fungi, Basidiomycota, Wallemiomycetes, Wallemiales, Wallemiaceae. The record is from Rfam.
GGUGAAAUGCGUUAGUCUGGUCCAUACGGUGUGACUUAAGAAAGAGCUUCAAUUCGAAGUGAUUUCAGCCACCCCGGCUGUGUGUUGAGUUCACAUGGCUUAGCCGUCCUGGGUUCGAAUCCCAGUUUCACCA